RNAcentral lists this non-coding RNA (123 nucleotides) under uncultured Clostridium sp. RNAcentral's name for it is "FMN riboswitch (RFN element)". It matches the Rfam family "FMN riboswitch aptamer (RFN element)". Rfam says of the family: The RFN element is a highly conserved domain that is found frequently in the 5'-untranslated regions of prokaryotic mRNAs that encode for flavin mononucleotide (FMN) biosynthesis and transport proteins. Lineage: Bacteria; Bacillati; Bacillota; Clostridia; Eubacteriales; Clostridiaceae. The record is from RNAcentral.
UGUCUUCGGGGCGGGGUGUAAUUCCCCACCGGCGGUAAACCGGCGCAACGCCGGCAAGCCCGCGAGCGUAAGCUGAUCUGGUGAGAUUCCAGAGCCGACGGUAUAGUCCGGAUGGAAGAAGAG